GGAAAGAGGAAGGUGGCGGGGCUGUGUGGUUAUGAUAAGGUGAAGUGGGGUAGUUUUUAUGGACACGUGUAGUAUAAUUGUCUUAGUGAAUAUUUACUAAGGAGGAGAUAUACAAAUAACUUCGUAUGUUCUUAUAAUUUUUUUUAAAGAUCUAGAAAAUAUUUUUCUAUAAUAGUUGCAUAUGUGGAUGACAUAAAAAUAUUGGAACUCCUGAAGAGAUU
Molecule: long non-coding RNA, 221 nt
Filed under: Lathyrus oleraceus (garden pea)
Lineage: Eukaryota; Viridiplantae; Streptophyta; Magnoliopsida; Fabales; Fabaceae
Description: Pisum sativum (pea) long non-coding RNA (PSAT_LNC020753)
Source: RNAcentral